AAGGCUUUAAGUUAAUUGCAAACUAACAACCUUCAAAGUUGUCAAUAAAGAGGGCUCUUUAAGCCUUA
This 68-nucleotide transfer RNA is filed under the name Togoperla sp. KW-2014. Its description in RNAcentral is "tRNA-Trp". The record is from RNAcentral. Lineage: Eukaryota; Metazoa; Arthropoda; Insecta; Plecoptera; Perlidae.